UUAGAAAGUCAUUAAUUUCAAUUGUUCUGUCACAUUUAUUGAUCACCUCCUACUUGCCAGGCCCUUUUCUAGGUGCUGGGAUGGAACCAAGACUAAAAUAAUCCCUGCCAUAGAGCUGUUGUCAAGUAGGAGUAACCGCAGAAGAGCGUCCUGGAGAGAAGGUUCCAGAGAAGCCUGGCGCAGGUUCCGGCCUGGCGGAGGCUCCCCGGGGUCGUGGAGCUGCGCGUGGGCAUCACCACCUGGCUGUCUGUGUCUGCAGCCUGGGUCCAAGAUGUGUGGGCCGGGCUUGCAGGCAGAGGUCCAGAGAGGCUGUUGGGAGUUGACCAUUUCCAUCUGAAGGGCUUCGUAGUCUCUGAGGGCCUGGCUGGGCCGCCCCCCCACCCCCGGGCCUCCCCUCUCCUCCCUGCAGCCUCAGCCACCGCCCCUCCGCCCCUGCACUGUGCGACGACUGCAGCC
This is a long non-coding RNA of Gorilla gorilla gorilla (western lowland gorilla), 456 nucleotides long. RefSeq lists it as uncharacterized. The record is from RefSeq and is a predicted model, not a curated record. The transcript is spliced from 3 exons. Lineage: Eukaryota; Metazoa; Chordata; Mammalia; Primates; Hominidae.